RNAcentral lists this ribosomal RNA (253 nucleotides) under uncultured bacterium. Its description in RNAcentral is "partial 16S ribosomal RNA". It matches the Rfam family "Bacterial small subunit ribosomal RNA", at positions 524 to 776 of the family's 1533-position model. The record is from RNAcentral.
GACGAACCGUCCAAACGUUAUUCGGAAUCACUGGGCUUACAGAGUUCGUAGGCGGUUCUACAAGUGGGGUGUGAAAGCCCUCGGCUCAACCGAGGAACUGCGCUCCAAACUGUAGAACUAGAGGGAGAUAGAGGUGAGCGGAACUGAUGGUGGAGCGGUGAAAUGCGUUGAUAUCAUCAGGAACACCGGAGGCGAAGGCGGCUCACUGGGUCUCUUCUGACGCUGAGGAACGAAAGCUAGGGGAGCAAACGGG